UCCUAUCUCCCCUCACUCUCAUUCUCUCUCUUCUCUUUUCUUCGAGAAGCUCUCCUCUCUCUUCUGUGCUCCCACACUUGAAUCUUCAUUCUUCCCUUGUCCUUGAACUCACCCAAACUAUCAAUCCCCAUCAUCCAAUGAAUUGUCCGUGAAGGGGAUCAAGGGGGGUCUCAAUCCUUUACCGUCGGCUUGCAUCGGCGACAUGGUGAUGGCCACCGUGAAGAAGGAAAAGGCGGAUCUGAGGAAGAAGGAUGGCCGCCACGAUGCACGCCAAGUUAAACUGGAUCGGAAGAAGCUCAACUAGAUCGACCUCAUCAGAAUCUAGUUUCAGUGACCCAGUUUUUUAUGGGUUUAUGCCUAUCAACUCUAAUCAAGAUCCCCAAUUUCAUCAAUGUGAAAUUGGAAUUCGUAGUGGUUGCUAAAGGCCUAGCUUGUGGAACUUCUCAUAUGAUCAGUGCUAAGAUUGAAGGCCUUGCUCGGUUGGCUGAUGAGUUUUCUGACCUUGUUUUCAACUGCUAGCAAUUUGCUACGAUUAAAGUUCGUUCCAUUUAUAAUUUCUUUUAGAUCUGAACAAUUGUUUAUUGGGUCAAAGUAAACAUUGAGUUUUCAAGUCAAAACCAAUCUCCAUGGCGCUGCUCUGAGUUAAAUCGUUCUCUGGUUUUAUGUAUGCAAGGAUGGCUAUCGCGAUGCACGCCAAGUUAAACGGGAAGAACCUAAACCAGAUCGACCUCAUCAGAAUCUGGAUCUGGUUUCAGUGUUUCAAUAAAGUAUGGAUCUACGCCUAUCACCUCUAAUCCAAGAUCUCAAAUUUCAUCACUUGAGUAGAGGCUGAAACCAUGGCAGUGACUGAAUCCAAGCCGAUCAUCGUUGAACCCAUUCAUCCCCAGAAAUAUGAAAUAAAAUGAAUAAGAUCAGGAUAUUAGCCAUCCAUCCCCAGGAAUACUCGAUAUUGGACCAGAAAUAAUUAAUAAAAAAAAUGAUAAUAAUGAAUCUUACCCACCAUUUCUGUUGGUGGUCCCAAUAUGUCAGAGCUUCUUCAGAGAAGCCACACACCAAGUAAAUCGAGACUAUUAAGGGGAAAGCAACCCCUCUACAGAGCACUGACCCUAUUAAAAGUGGCUGUAAUGUGGCUAUGGCUGCUAGACACACACAUGUGUGCCCUUUAAGGUCUUUUUGUCAAGCAAGCUGUGUGUGGCCUUUCCCCAUAAUUAUAGUAGUGAUAUUCCAGGUGGUUGACGUGGCAGCCUCCCCCGACCACCCUAUUGUUGUUGGCGUAUGGGACACCACUAUCUGGAGGAAUAGCCAUGAAGAUGAAGAAUGUAGACCUAAUUUCGUUCCGGCAGCGGAAUUGUCCAUCCAGGGUUUGCAGCAAGUGAGACUUGAUAGCUUGGAAUCUGAAGCAACAAAAUCAUCAUGUACAAUUUGUUUGGAGGAUUUUGCAGGGUAUUGAUCAACUGGUGGUUACUAGAUUACCCUGCUCACACUAUUAUCAUGGAGAUUGCAUUGUCAAGUGGCUGGAGAUUAGUCCUCUAUGUCCCAUAUGCCAAUACCCGAUGCCAAUAGAGGAAGUGGGGGAGCCAUCAUCAAAUCCCUUACCCCAAUCAAGGCAAUAGCGUAUAUAUAUGCUGCAAAUCGCAUCGAACCAAACCCCUGCUUGCUUAUUGCUUGCCAAGAGGUGCUUCCUGAAACUGGUGCUUUUUACUUGUCUUCUUAAUUAAUAAUUAGCUGCUAGUCGUCUGCAAUAUAAUUCUUUGGAUAGCAACGAAGGUACAUUGGAGAAAAAAAAUCAGUGGUGGAUGGUUUGAAUAAUUGGAACAUGUAUGACAUGAUCAACCAGUCCUACGGUCCUACCUUUCUUUUCAAAGUUUUUUUUUUCUUUUCUCUUUUUUGUGUGUCAUGUACUUACGUUAGUGGACUCGGCCUCGUCCUAACUC
Molecule: long non-coding RNA, 1934 nt
Organism: Rosa rugosa (rugosa rose)
Lineage: Eukaryota; Viridiplantae; Streptophyta; Magnoliopsida; Rosales; Rosaceae
Exons: 3
Source: RefSeq, a predicted model, not a curated record